GGAAUAUUAAUACACUGAUAGAGAAACCUUGAUUUUUUUUGACAAUCUCCACUUUCUUUUACUGAAAAAUACACUGAUCGGAAAAUUUCAAGCGCCCCGGGGACUCUGAUUUCGAAAUUCAAGCGCCCCGGCGAGGGAUCGUUAAAUGGCCUGUGGAAAGCCCUGAGCUAGAUAUUUAUGCCCCCCUUUGAAGAAGAGGGGGUUUAUUGUUUUGCUCAUGUCGGUCCGUCCAUAUAUCCAUCCACCAGAUGGUUUCCGGAUGAUAACUCAAGAAUGCUUAGGCCUAGGAUCAUGAAACUUCAUUGGUACAUUGAUCAUGACUCGCAGAUGACCCCUAUUGAUUUUCAGGUCACUAGGUCAAAGGUCAAGGUCACGGUGACCCGAAAUAGUAAAAUGGUUUCCGGAUGAUAACUCAAGAAUGCUUAUGCCUAGGAUCAUGAAACUUCAUAGGUACAUUGAUCAUGACUCGCAGAUGACCCCUAUUGAUUUUCAGGUCACUAGGUCAAAGGUCAAGGUCACAGUGCCAAAAAACGUAUUCACACAAUGGCUGCCACUACAACUGACAGCCCUUAUAGGGGGCAUGCAUGUUUUACAAACAGCCCGUGUUUUGUUUUAUUUGCCAGCAUUUACUUUUUUACACAUUUAUUUUAUUUUUUUACAAUUGUAUGAUAUCCAUGACUUGAUGUACAAAGUAUGGUGUUGAACCAUUGUUCAGUUGAGUUUAUAAUUUGUGUACACAACAUGUAUUAAGAAAGAGCUGUUAUUUAUAUAAAAGUAAUUAAAACAUCGUUUCUUUCCUACGAAAAUCUGACAAAAAAGGGAAUAAAUGUAUUCAUACAUUAUACAGUGCAACACACAUUCCAAGUAUAGCAUAACCUUAACACUUGUGAUAUAAAGUAAACACAAACAUUUGCGAUAUAGACAGUUACUUUUAUUCACAAGUACUUCCUUUGUUCUUUAUUUUAUCUUAAUAGAAUAUCUUACCAGCCAUAAGCCCUGUAUAAUGAAAUCUCAUUUGUUUUCAUUGGCAUCUCAAAGGAUGCUUUAUUCCUGUCCAAGUUUCUUGUAGGUUUUUAGCGAGGCGUUUUCGGAGAAAACCCAAGGUAUUGUCAUAGCCAGCUCGUUGUCCGACGUCUGCCAUCCGCGUCGUGCUAAAAACUUAACAUUUUAUUAAGGUUUUGAACAUUGGCUCUAAAAUCAAAUUGCUUCCACCUAGAUCUACAACUUUGAAACUUCAUAUGUAGAUGCACCUUGAUGAGUUCUACACGCCACACCCAUUUUGGGGUCACUAGGUAAAAGGUCAAGGUUCAUUUAUUAAAAAACUGCACCCGUUGCCGAGCGUGGCACCCGUUAUGCGAUGCUCUUGUUUAAUAAUUUUUUCCUGCAUCCAUUAAAACAAAUCUGAGUGUGUAGCUAAAUCAGCUUAUUUGGCUAAUUGUUUGCUCAGUAUUGUGAAAUUUAUGGUGCUACACUUGUCAUAAGAUAGCGUAGUCAUUGAUGUUACUUAUAGUAAUUUUUCCGGGGUUGUAAAACAAAUAAUGUUUGAUAGUUGUAUGUUACCUUCAAUUUUCUGCCAUUUGAUUUAUCAAUAUAAAAAAACAACUAGUACUGUUUAUGUUUAAUUUUGUAAAACAGCUUUAAGUAUUGUAUACACCAACUUUAUAAUUCUGUUUUCUUCAUUAUGUUAUAAAUAAUUUGUGUAUUUUUUUUUAAAUGCAUUUAAUCCUGUUAGAAUAUUUUUUACAAAAUCAAAAGUAUUUUUAAUGUUAAUUUAGAUUUUACUUUGCAGUUGCAAAGCAUGAUAUGCAGAUAAUAGUCAGAUAUACUUGUAGCUUUAGUAUAAAACAUGUAGUAUUGUUAUUAGAAUCUCUUCAUACUUUAUUUCUCUUCAUUUUUUGAUGCCUUCAAAGCUUUGGGGUCACUAAACAUUUAACUUGCCUGUAGGUAUGUCUGUACAUCUUGAAGCUUGUGCUUUCAACUUCCAUGUAACCACUUUCUUGUAGCGUGUGUUUAACUGCCCUGUAAACACUUGGUGAAUCUUGCCAAAACUUUCACAGUGCCCAUUAUGUUAAGAUGAUCAAAAUAAAUAGAUUUUGGUUUUGACAAGUUUUAAAAGAAUAAUGGCCCUUUGUCUGUUUUUCAAAAUAGAGUUUAUAGUCCCAAACUUUGUUGUUAUUUUUUUUAACUUAAACUGAUUGGCGUACACUUUGCUCAAGCUUUCACAGCUUAAUGGCAUUAAUAGAUAAAUGUUCAAGAAGAAAUGAUUAUUGGCUUCGAUCGGUUUUGACUGAAUUAUUACCCUUUGUCUUUGUGUGUGUUCCCUGUAUACUUUAUAGUGAUAUUGUCUGUGUCCAAAUGUGAGUAGUGUGGGCAUCAGUGUCUGUGACACAUUUCUAGUUGUAUGCUCUAUAUUAGUAAUGUAUUUGUGCAAUAUUCAGAGCUGUUGUUUGGAAGUUGUGUUUUUGGCGUAGUAAGAGUUUGACUUUAAGUUGUGAUAAGUGUCUUUUGCUAAAAACCCUGUGAUGGAUUGCCUUGAAGCCCAUGUGAUAAAUGGGCCAUGCUCUGUGAAAAAGGGAUUAAAUGCAUGAGCGUAAAGUGUCAUCCAAGAAUAUCCUGUGCAGUCCGCACAGGCUAAACAGGGACAACACUUUAUGCUUUUAUGAUAUUUUUUGUUUACAGAAAUUCACUUCUUAGCUAAUCCAGAUUAGGUGGAAAGUGUCGGGCCAGAUUAGCCUGUGCACAGGCUUAUCUGGGGCAACACUGUACGCACAUGCAUUAAACCCCCUUUUCACAGAGCACAGCCUAAAUGCACUUUUAAAUGGCAUCAAAUAUUCAAAUUAUCACCCAGGUGUCAUAUUUUUAAGAAAGAUGUUUUUAGUAAAUUUACUAAGAAAUUCCUCUAUAAGAAUAAGUCACAAGGCCCGUUGUUUUGAUAUUUGGUAUGUAACAUCAGAUAGUGGUUCUCUACUUAUUUUGUUCUAAGUAUGCAUACAGGAUCACCGUGGACACACCCAUGUGAUGGGGUGAAAUGUUUGAUAUAGUCUUACAUAGCAAGGUAUGUUCAAAUUCUGCGGCUCUUGUCAAACAGUACCCCAAACAAUGCAUUUUCAUUGGAAAUCAACGCCUUUUUUUACACAAUUUUCUUAUUGUUUAUAUUAUUAUUAGUAGUAUAGUAGUUGUAAAAUAUUUUACAUCGAUUUAUUUGCUACUGUAACUUACAAUAUUUUCAAAAAUGUGCAUUUUUGUGCUUUUCGUUUGAUGUAUAUUUUUUUUUAUUAAUGUUAUUUAAAAAAAAUGUGUGAAAAUGUUUGUACAAGAAAUAAAAUUGUUAAAGGUGACAGGUUGAAAUACAUGUCAUGAUAUUAUUACAUAUCAAAAGUAGUCACAUAUUAGUCUUCAAUGUGUCGGGAUGUUAUCAGAGGACUGUUGGCCAAAAGAAUGGUGAAGAACUUUUAUGGUUCUAAUUGUUAUAUGCAGUUCUUAUUUCUGUAUGACAAUAAGUUUCAUGUACUUAUAAAUUGAAAUCUGAUUUAAGUUUUAAAUGCGGGAUUUAUUGGUCUUUGAUCAACCAUGUGUGAUAUUGUCUGUAUUUUACUGUAUUUUAAGUAUGGAAAAUAAAGCGGUGUAUGUUGCUUAA
This is a long non-coding RNA of Dreissena polymorpha, 3637 nucleotides long. RefSeq lists it as uncharacterized. NCBI's taxonomy places the organism in Eukaryota, Metazoa, Mollusca, Bivalvia, Myida, Dreissenidae. The record is from RefSeq and is a predicted model, not a curated record. The transcript has 2 exons.